This 424-nucleotide ribosomal RNA is filed under the name uncultured Bacteroidota bacterium. RNAcentral's name for it is "bacterial SSU rRNA". It matches the Rfam family "Bacterial small subunit ribosomal RNA", at positions 355 to 776 of the family's 1533-position model. Lineage: Bacteria; Pseudomonadati; Bacteroidota. The record is from RNAcentral.
UGAGGAAUAUUGCGCAAUGGAGGCAACUCUGACGCAGCCAUGCCGCGUGCAGGAAGAAGGCGCUACGCGUUGUAAACUGCUUUUAACCGGGAAGAAACCCCAGGACGUGUCCUGGGUUGACGGUACCGGAGGAAUAAGCACCGGCUAACUUCGUGCCAGCAGCCGCGGUAAUACGAAGGGUGCAAGCGUUAUCCGGAUUCAUUGGGUUUAAAGGGUGCGUAGGCGGAGCGUUAAGUCAGUGGUGAAAUCCUGCAGCUUAACUGUAGACUUGCCAUUGAUACUGGCGCUCUUGAGUGCGCUUGAAGUAGGCGGAAUGUGCCGUGUAGCGGUGAAAUGCUUAGAUAUGGCACAGAACACCAAUUGCGAAGGCAGCUUACUAAGGCGAUACUGACGCUGAGGCACGAAAGCGUGGGGAGCGAACAGG